Molecule: ribosomal RNA, 496 nt
Filed under: uncultured bacterium
Lineage: Bacteria
Description: partial 16S ribosomal RNA
Rfam family: Bacterial small subunit ribosomal RNA
Source: RNAcentral
AUGCACGCUGGCGGCGUGCCUAAUACCUGCAAGUCGAGCGAACGGACGAGAAGCUUGCUUUUCUGAUGUUAGCGGCGGACGGGUGAGUAACACGUGGAUAACCUACCUAUAAGACUGGGAUAACUUCGGGAAACCGGAGCUAAUACCGGAUAAUAUUUUGAACCGCAUGGUUCAAAAGUGAAAGACGGUCUUGCUGUCACUUAUAGAUGGAUCCGCGCUGCAUUAGCUAGUUGGUAAGGUAACGGCUUACCAAGGCAACGAUGCAUAGCCGACCUGAGAGGGUGAUCGGCCACACUGGAACUGAGACACGGUCCAGACUCCUACGGGAGGCAGCAGUAGGGAAUCUUCCGCAAUGGGCGAAAGCCUGACGGAGCAACGCCGCGUGAGUGAUGAAGGUCUUCGGAUCGUAAAACUCUGUUAUUAGGGAAGAACAUAUGUGUAAGUAACUGUGCACACCUUGACGGUACCUAAUCAGAAAGCCACGGCUAACUACGUG